AGCUGAUCCAAAGACAGUGAGUUAUCUCAAUUUAUUGUUCAGUCAGUUACAAAUCGAACUCAUUUGACUCCUUCCUCCUUUCUCGCUUUAUUGCACUUGAUGAGUCUUAA
Molecule: non-coding RNA, 110 nt
Filed under: Microcebus murinus (gray mouse lemur)
Lineage: Eukaryota; Metazoa; Chordata; Mammalia; Primates; Cheirogaleidae
Source: RNAcentral